Molecule: ribosomal RNA, 254 nt
Filed under: uncultured bacterium
Lineage: Bacteria
Description: partial 16S ribosomal RNA
Rfam family: Bacterial small subunit ribosomal RNA
Source: RNAcentral
CACGUAGGGGGCAAGCGUUGUCCGGAUUUAUUGGGCGUAAAGAGCUCGUAGGCGGUUCGGUAAGUUGGGUGUGAAACCUCCAGGCUCAACCUGGAGACGCCACCCGAUACUGCUGUGACUAGAGUCCGGUAGGGGAGCGUGGAAUUCCUGGUGUAGCGGUGAAAUGCGCAGAUAUCAGGAGGAACACCAGCGGCGAAGGCGGCGCUCUGGGCCGGAACUGACGCUGAGGAGCGAAAGCGUGGGCAGCAAACAGG